RNAcentral lists this small RNA (822 nucleotides) under Histoplasma ohiense. RNAcentral describes it as "hypothetical lncRNA". The record is from RNAcentral. Lineage: Eukaryota; Fungi; Ascomycota; Eurotiomycetes; Onygenales; Ajellomycetaceae.
CCUGCUCUAAAUAUAAUCUGUGUUAUUUUCACUAAUAAUGCCCAUCAUAUCCAAGGACCAAGCCAAUCGCGUUUCAAAAAAUACAUUAAGUUUUGGCCAUUGCCUCUAUUUGCCCCUUCCAGGCAUCGUCAUCACCUAUCUCAUCAUCCCAUCCUCUUCGCAACUACAGAUGAGAAACUAACGAAUCGCAAAUAGAUCAUGAAUUGGAUUUUUUGCUGUGGCUCUCCUGCACCUAAAAAUACAAACCUCGGCCUCUUGGCAGCGACGAUCCGGCCCUUCGCGCUAUCAGCACUACGACUACUGCUAAUAGCUAGCGACCGUUGAGGGAUGCUGGAGCGACCGGACAUUGGACAAUGGAACUCUGGACUCUGGGCUCUACUACUGGACUUGCUGUGGUAGUCCUGUACGAGCCGACAACGACUCAACCAGUCCGAGCAAACUCCGCCCUGCAAGCCACGUUGUCAAAAAAAAUAAAAUAAAUAAAUAAAUAAAAAAAGGUUUUUUUUCGCACUAGUUCUCAGAUUCACAGCUUUUCUCCGCGGUCGUCUCCAAGCAAGAUAGCACCAGUAUCAAAACGGAUAGCUCGCGGUUUUUGGACACUGAAUCCCAUUUACGCUCGUUAAGGUUUUAGUGCUUGUCCUCGGCGGACACUCCCGGUAGACUCAAGAUCGGUAGCGAGCUUCAAGAUUAACCUUCCCAGGUCCUUGUAUAGAUAAACACCUCCAGCGGGAAUGUGGAUGCGAGAAGUGACCGAGUAUGUGUAUAUCGAAAAAAGGAGUAUAUGUAGAAAAACAAAAUUGUUUACAAAAAUAAUAAAUAAAA